GAUCAUGGCUCAGGGUGAACGCUAGCUACAGGCUUAACACAUGCAAGUCGAGGGGCAGCAUUUCAGUUUGCUUGCAAACUGGAGAUGGCGACCGGCGCACGGGUGAGUAACACGUAUCCAACCUGCCGAUAACUCGGGGAUAGCCUUUCGAAAGAAAGAUUAAUACCCGAUGGCAUAAUUAGACCGUCAUGGUCUUGUUAUUAAAGAAUUUCGGUUAUCGAUGGGGAUGCGUUCCAUUAGG
This 241-nucleotide ribosomal RNA is filed under the name uncultured bacterium. RNAcentral's name for it is "partial 16S ribosomal RNA". It matches the Rfam family "Bacterial small subunit ribosomal RNA", at positions 15 to 245 of the family's 1533-position model. The record is from RNAcentral.